UGCUUAUUAUGUGACUGACGGAUUAGGAUGGGAUUAACCAUCAAGGAGCAUAAUAAGGAGAAUUGCCGACCGUCUGGGCAGAUAGU
Molecule: non-coding RNA, 86 nt
Filed under: Halobacteroides halobius
Lineage: Bacteria; Bacillati; Bacillota; Clostridia; Halanaerobiales; Halobacteroidaceae
Also listed under: 1 other name
Description: ZTP sequence
Rfam family: ZMP/ZTP riboswitch aptamer (pfl RNA motif)
About the family: Previously known as pfl RNA. ZMP is also known as AICAR.
Source: RNAcentral